RNAcentral lists this transfer RNA (70 nucleotides) under Modiolus philippinarum. RNAcentral describes it as "tRNA-Gln". The record is from RNAcentral. Lineage: Eukaryota; Metazoa; Mollusca; Bivalvia; Mytilida; Modiolidae.
UGUAAAAUAGUAUAGUUAGUACACAGAGGUUUGAUCUCUUUAGAAAAGGUUGUUACUCCUUUUUUUGCAG